AACGUUUAUUUGGAGAGUUAAAAUCUGUGCAUUCUUUGUUUUCUAAAGUCGUUGCAUGAUCUCAUUAUUCCUUGCUUGGUUACUACUUUAGAAGGCGUUUCAUCAUUUAGUUCCAAAUGCUAGAACUCAUGCCCAUUUCAUUCAAAGCAUGUUAUUGAUUUGCAUAACACAUAUUCAAGAUAAAGUUGUGUAGUUACCACCACCUUAGCCAAAACUGCCGUGUAUCCCAUAUCAUUUAUGUUUAAGGUUUAACCCCGUUGAGCCUUGUUUAGCCUAUGUUGUUGUUAACCCACAUUAUCCUCACCUAGCCUAGAUUAGGACCAUCCAUACCCUUGUUCUUAAAGCAUAGUAAAGCAUGAUUCAAAUUGAAUUCCUUUUGAUUUAUGUUGGCAGAAAACAAGUGUGGGGGAAGUAUUUCUUUUGUGAUUUUGUGUGCCAUAGGCACGUGUGGAAAGAAAAGGAAAAAAAAAAAGAAAAAAAUGAAGAAAAAGUAUGAGAAGUAAAAAAAAAAAAAGAGUUGAAAAGUUGAGAAAAAGAGUUCCAAAGUAUUGUUUGUUGAAGUAAGGGUCCAAAACAAUGAAUUCGGCCCUAAGAAGUUGUUUAAGUAUCCCCCUUGUGUGUUAAAGUUAAUUUCUGCAAUCUAAGUGAAUUCUAAGUCUCAAUUUCAUUGCUUUGCUUACUAUUGCUUGAAGAACGUUUGUUUUCCAUAUCCGUUUUUGUUAGCCAAUACCUUAAGCCCCAUUACAACCCGUAACUUCUAUCUUGAGUGUUAUGUGUUUCAAUUUGUGGAGUUUGAAUUUGGUAUGAGCAUAUGGUGUCACUGGUUCUCGCAUCUAAGUAGUAGCAUUCCAUUCAUGAGAUCAUAUCUAAACAUGCUUCUUAACUCUAGAAAUUGCGUUCUUUGUGAAACAUAUAUGUGAGCAUUCGUUUUCAUAUCUACAUCAAUCUUCUCACAUAUGACUAGUGUAGGGUGUGGAGUUAGAAAAUCUGAGUGAAAAUAGAGUGUAUAUCUUGUAAGGAAUUGAGGGAAUUCUCUAAGGCAUGUUACUACAUUCAAAGCAUUGUUUUGAAUUGAUUACUUGUGAACUAGUAAGUGUGGCUUUAAUUAAGUAUGUGCUUGUGUAAAGAUGACUCAACUCUGUGGGGAUAGCAAUCUUUAACAUGUCAUGUGCAUUGGAAAUCCCUGAGGCAAACGUUGGAAGGUUUAGGUUUUGUUUUGGUUAGUUUGUUUCGUUUUGUUUUCUUUCUUUUGUUUGUUUUGCUCGAGGACUAGCAAAAGCUAAGUGAUAGGAGCAUAUUUAUGCGCCUUAGUUUAGCUUGUUCUUGUGCAUUUAUAGUGUUUUUGCUUAGUAAAGUAGUCUUUUAAGCUAGUUUUAUGUGUUUUCAGGUUCUAAGGGCAAAGUAUGCAAAAGGAUGCAUUUUGGAGUCUUUUGGAGCAAAGUUGAGCUUGGAAUGGAUGUCAUAUGCUUGGAGCCAAGAGGAUGGACGAAAUUGAAGAUUUCAAGAUGAUGUUUCCUACUUGAACAAGGUUUCCUAGUCGAAGUAGGAAAGCGCCUAAGUGAAGAUGGAAUCCUAGUUGAAUUAGGAUUCCUAGUCAAAAUGGGUUUCCUAGUUGAAUUGGGAUUCCUAGAAGAUGAAGAUUCCUACUCAAACAAGGUUUCCUACUUGAAGUAGGAAAGUUAAAUCCAAAUGGCAUCAAGAAGGAAAAGGAAUCCAAGAUGAAGAAGGAGAAGAAUUCCAAGUCAAGGGAGGAUUUUCACAUGUUUUCCUAAUGCUAGAAGGACUCCUAAGUGUUGUAGGACACAAAUGAGAAGUUUCUAGAAAGUUUACAUCCUUGCCGUGGGUUUCAUGCAAUUCCUAUCAGUUUUGGGGCUUUCUAGAAGCCCUAUCCCUAAUCCCUACAUUGGUGCCGCACCCUAGCUUCUAGAAAUCUGAUUUCCUUGCCUUGCAAGGCUUUCUAGAAGCCUUAUCCACCUUAUCCUAUCCCUGCCGCACCUAGGACCCCUUUUCCCUUGCAAAAUCUGAUUGUUUAGACCUAUUUCCUUGUGGAUUUGGGUUAUCCAAGUCCAUAUCUGAUUACCCUAGGGUUUUAAGUGCCUAUAUAUACUCCUAUUAACCCCUAAAUCAGAUCACCACUCACCACAAUUCACAAUUCACUCCAGAAAUUCGUCCAAACUCUCUCCACACCUUUGCCGCACCAUUCCCUUCCCCUAAACACUACUACAUCCCUCCAUAACCAUGCAUCCAUACACCUAAGGUCCUAAACUAGUCCCUAGAACCUUUGCCGCACCAAGGAGGAGGAGAAGGAAGCUCGGAAGUUCAUGCAAUUCAAGUUCGCGUCGCUGGAAUUUCUAGGUGUUUCUUUUCCUUUGAUUUCAAUGUUUAAAUUCAAUUCUCUUUGUUUUGUGCGUAUGAGGAACUAAACCCCCCUUGGCUAGGGGGGGAUUCGAAAUACAUGUUUAUGCUUGCGUUAUGAUUUGAUUACUUCUAAUUGCGUUUCAUAAGUUGUGAAUUCAAUUUACUUAUCUAUGCGAAUUACAUUGAUUUAUGUGUAUUGGUUGAGAGUGCACGCUUAAUUUCAUGCAUGAAAUUUGAAUGCUAGGAUAUAAGGAAAUUUCACCUAAUCGUUAUGGAAACUUAUAUUCACAAGUAGUAAAGGUUGAUGAUCUCAAUCGCGUUAAGUAAAUUCUUGGCAUAAGUUUCAUGCAAUCAUAGUAACAAGUGCUUCGUCAAUGCUUAUGGUUUUUCAUAGAACUUAAUGAUUCUUGCUUGUAUCUCUAUUAUGCAAUCAUGUAGGGGACUUGUGGGGAAUGUUUGGGUUGUCGUAUGCAAUCAUCCAAUUCAAUAACGUUAGGAAAAUCUGAAGGUUAAUUUAAGCGAACCUAAUUAACUUGGGGCGUUGAGAAUUCAUGGUUUAUUGAAAAGCAAUUGGAAAUCGUUUUGUAUGCAAGUAUAACAUGUGUGGAGAUGAACCCCUUAGCUAGCCUUCCAUUCACCCAUUUAAAUCAAAUUCGUUUUUACAAUCUGUUCUAAUUUACAAAGUUUGUUUUGUUUUUAAAUUCGUCCAAAACCAAUCCCCCUUUGUUUUAAAGUGUCAAAUUAGUUAGUAAGUGUUUUACUUUGUGUUUUUAAGUGUUUUGAUUCAAGUUAAAACCCAAAUUCGUCCAAUUUGGUGCUUAGUGUCCAAAACUGCCCAGAUUGUGUUUUUAAGGCAGUUUUGAAUGUUUUGGUGCUGUUUUGAGUCUUUUGGUUUGUUUUGGUGUUUUAAAGUUUAGUUUUGCAUUCUUUAAGUCUAGUUUAGUGUUUUAAACUUGUUUUUACAUAUUUGAGUCAGUUUUCAAGUGAUUUUGCAAUCCCUCCUAAUCCCCGGUUUAGAACGAUCCCUACUUACAUACUUUGCUACAAUUGAUAAAAAGAGGGUUAAUUUGAGUGUCAACAUAAUUUUCACAUCACUAAGUGUGGGGGAAUUUGAUAGGAGCAUAUUUAUGCGCCUUAGUUAGCUAGUUCUUAUGCAUCUUUGUUAUGUUUUCUUCGUUAAAGUAGUCUUUUAAGCUACUUUCAUGUGUUUUCAGGUUUAAAGGACAUAUUACAUGAAAUGAUGCAAGUUGGAGCUUUUGGAGCAAAAUAUGAGCUUGGAUUGAAAAGGACAUGCUUGAAACACAAGGUUGGGAUGGAAUUGAAGAGUUGAAGAUUUGAGGUUUCCUACUUGAAGUAGGAAAGCUAAGCCUAAAAGUUUCCAUUUUGGGUUGAUCUUUCCUAAAUCGGAAUUGGCAACCAAAGUUUCUAAAGUUGGAAGUUUCUAUUCUUGGAGGUUUCCAUUUUCGUGAGUUUCUAUUCUCGGCUUUGGGCUUUUGGAUGACCCAUCCUUACUUCUUGGACCUAUGUCGCACCUAAACCCUAACCCUAGCCACUUAAUCAGCCGCACCUAGGCCUUGUUCACUUGCAAAAAAAUCUGAUUAUUUACCCUAAGCCCAUGCCGCACCUUUCCAUCCUAGAAGCCCUAUUUUACAAACCUUAACCCUAGCCCAUUGUUUCAAUCUGAUUUCAUUAGGGUUUUAGGUGCCUAUAUAUAUGUGUUUUACUCCUUUGGCCGAAGCUCUCCCACUCUACAAAUCAGAAAUCGUCUAAACCCUAUUCCCACACCUUGCCGCAGCCUUCAUCCAUUCCAGCCACACCCAUACACCUUGCCGCAGCCAUCCCUCUACUCCAGCCACCAUUCUCCAUCUCCAUACACCAUCCACACCUCUUGCCGCACCACCAUACCAUCCUAAUUCCCUUCCUAAACCAAAAUCACAUCCAAAAGUCCCCUUAACCAUCUCUGCCGCAGCAAGGAGAAGAAGAAGAGGAGCUUGACGUGCAGAAAUUCAAAGUGGAAUUCUUGGGCGUUUUAGGUGUAAUCUUUCUUAUGUCUUCGAUGUUUCAAUUCAAUAAAUUUUGUGUUGUGAGUAUGAGAAACUAAACCCCCUUAGUUGGGGGGUAAUUCGAAACCAUGUACAUGCUUGCAAUAUGAUUUGAUUACAUUCAGUUGUUAUUUCAUAAGUUGUGGAUUUAAUUCGUUCAUCUAUUUGAUUGAUAAUUUAUUUGUGUAUGUUGAUUGAGAGUGCACGCUUAGUUUUCAUGCAUGAAUAUGAUGCUAGAUUAUGAGGGAGUUUCACCUAAUAGUUACAAUCUUAUAAUCACAAGUAGUGAAGGUCGCUUGAAAACGAUCGCGUUGAAUGAAUUCUUAGCAUAAGUUUCAUGCAAUUCAUAGUAACAAAUGCUUCGUCAAUGCUUAUGUUUUUCAUAGAACGUAAUGAUUCUUGCUUGUAUCUCUAUUAUGCAAUUCAUGUAGGGAACUUGUAGGGAAUGUUUUGGGUUGUCGUAUGCAAUCAUCCAACCUAAUAACUUGUGGAAAAACUGAGGGUUAAUUAGUGCAAUUCACGGUUAAUUUGGGGCGUUGAGUAUUCAUAAUUUAUUGGAAGAACAACUGAAAAUCGUUUUGUUUGCAAGUGUGACAUGUGUGGAGAAGAACCUCCUAACUAGCCUUUUAACCAUCCUUUUCAUCCAAAAACGUUUUUACAAUCUGUUUAGUUUUAAGUCUUCUGUUUUGUUUUCAAUUUUCGUCCAAAACAAAUCCCCCUUUAUUUUGAAGUCUUAGAUUAGUUAGAAAGUGUUUUGAUUUGUGUUUCUAAGUGUUUUGAUUCAAGUUUUCACUCAAUUUCGUCCAAGUUCUUGUUAGGUUCUCAAAACUGCCCAGAAAGUGGUUUUUAGGCAGUUUUGAGUCAUUAGGUUGCUGUUUUGAGUUUUAGGUUUGUUUAAGUGUUUUAAAGUUUAGUUUUGCAUUCUUUGAGUCUAGUUUAGUGUUUUAAACCUUUGUUUUUAGAGUUUUUAAAGUCAGUUUCCAAGUGUUUAGCAAUCCCUCCUAAUCCCCGGUCUAGAACGAUCCCUACUUACAUCUUUACUACAAUUUGACAAAAAGAGGGUUUAAUUUGUGUGCUUAUCUAUUUCGCAUCAGUUCUUUGUUAGCCCACACUAUCCUUACCUAGCCUAGUUUUAGGAUCAUCCAUACCCUUGUUCUUGAAGCAUAGUAAAGCAUGACCUAAAAUAAACUCCUUUUUUAUCAAUGUAUUGCAGAAAGCAAGUGUGGGGGAAGUGAUUCUUGUGUGUGUGUGUACCAAAGUCCUUAAUAAGGCACGGGUAGAGAAAAGAAAAAAAAGAAAAAAAGGUAUGAAAAAAAGCUCUAAAGUGUUGUUUGUUAAAAAAGGGUCCAAAACAUUGAAUUUGGCCCUAAGUGUUGCAUGAAUCUUCCCUUUGUAUGGAAAAGUUGAUUCUACAUUCUAAAGUGAAUUCUAGGUGUCUAUUUCAUUGCUUUGCUUGCUAUCGCUUUAAGAACAUUUGUUAUUCCUAUUCUUUCUUUGUUAGCCAUUACCCCCAAGCCCUAUUACAACCCUUGACUUCAAUCUUGAGUGUUGUGCGUUUCAAUUUAUGGAGUUCAAAAUUGGUAUGAGCAUAUUGUGUCACUGGUUCUUGCAUCUAAGUAGUAGCAUACAAUUCAUGAGAUCAUAUCAAAACAUGCUUAAUAACUCCAGAAAAUUGCUUCC
Molecule: long non-coding RNA, 6080 nt
Filed under: Malus domestica (apple)
Lineage: Eukaryota; Viridiplantae; Streptophyta; Magnoliopsida; Rosales; Rosaceae
Description: long non-coding RNA (MDOM_LNC020614)
Source: RNAcentral